RNAcentral lists this long non-coding RNA (324 nucleotides) under Medicago truncatula (barrel medic). Its description in RNAcentral is "long non-coding RNA (MTRU_LNC003922)". Lineage: Eukaryota; Viridiplantae; Streptophyta; Magnoliopsida; Fabales; Fabaceae. The record is from RNAcentral.
CGCAGAAAAUCAGAAGCGGAAGCUUGUUCAGAAGCAGUUCAGAAGCACUCUUCAGAAGCUAGUUCAUAAGCACUCUUCAGAAGCAGUUCAGAAGCAGUUUCUUAUUCUAAGGUUUAUGUGAAUUAGAGAGAGAAUUGAGAGAAGAGAGAAGUUAUGAUGAAAAUGAAAUUGAUCUUUAUUGAUUCUACAUAUGAAAUGUACAAAGGAGGUAGCUUAUAUACAAUAUCUAGCUAAGUUGCUUGAAGCACAAGCAAUGUAACAAACUCUAGAUCUUAUCUACUAACCUCUAACAAACUUGUAACAAACUUCAUAACAAACUAAAAC